Molecule: non-coding RNA, 23 nt
Filed under: Rattus norvegicus (Norway rat)
Lineage: Eukaryota; Metazoa; Chordata; Mammalia; Rodentia; Muridae
Source: RNAcentral
UAAGAAGCAAUGAAUUUUUUCCU